GGAAGAAGAAAGAGAUAUGAGGAGAAUAGUAUAUGAGGCAGGUGAGUAAAGAUGAGUGGAACAGAGGGUAAAAAGCAUUAGUAUUUAGAAGGCAGAAGAAAAAAAGGGAAGAGAUUGAGGAAGGAUUAGCGAUAUAUGACGAAAGAAUGAAAUAAAAGAGGAAGAAGAAAGAGAUAUGAGGAGAAUAGUAUAUGAGGCAGGGGGAUAAAGAUGACAGGAACAGUAAUAGAGUAAGAAGUUUUAAUAUUCAGUUGGAAGAAGAAAAGAAAGGGAAGAGAUUGAGGAUGGAUUAGCGAUAUAUGAUCAAAGAAGUAAAAAAAAAGGAAGAAGAAAGAGAUAUGAGGAGAAUGGGAUAUGAGGCAGGUGAGGAAGGAUUAGAGGAACAGAGGGUAAAAAGCAUUAGUAUUUAGAAGGAAAAAGAAGAAAAAGAGAUUGAGGAAGGAUUAGCGAUAUAUGACGAAAGAAGGAAAUAAAAGAGGUAGAAAAGAGAGAUAUGAAUAGAAUGGUAUAUGAAGCAGGUGGAUAACGAUGAGAGCAACAGUAAUAGAGUAGGAAGCAAUUUAGUAUUCAUUAAGGAAGAAGAAAGGAAAAAGAAGAGAUUGAGAUUGGAGUGUUAGGUGAGUUAGGAAGAAAACACAUAUGAUGAAAGAAGAAAAAGAUGAAGAAAGACAUGUGAAAAGAAAGAGAUAUGGAAGAAUAGAAGAAAGAGAAGAGAUUGAGGUUGGAGUGUCAGGUGAGUUAGGAAGAAAAAGCGAUAUAUGAUGAAAGAAAGGAGAAAAAAAAGGAGGAAGGAGAAAGAUAUGAGAAGAAUGGCGUAUGAGGCAGGUGGGUUGAGAUGAGUGUGCAAAAGGAAUGCAAAAGGAAAGUAAUAGAAUCCUGGAGAAAAGGAAAAAAUGGGGAGAAGCGAGAGAGAAAGAAGGAAUGCCAAUAAAUCAUAUGAGAAUGAAAAUGGAAGAAGUUCGUAGAUUAAGGAGAGGAAUGAGAUGAAAAAAUGGAAAAAAUGAAAAAGGGAAGAAGAAUGUUAGAAAAGAAUGAAGGAAAUACAAGGAGAGAAGUGGAGAGAAAGAAGUUAUACCAAUAAGUCCUAAAUAAAAAAGAAAAUGAAAGUAAGAAGUUCGAAGAUUAAGAAAGAGAGGAAUGAGAUGAGAAAUGAAAUAUAAAAAAAAGAAAAAAAAGAAAGAUGGAAGUAAGAAUUUUGAAGAUUAAGAAGAGGAACGAGAAGAGAAAUAAAAUAUGGAAAAGAAAAAAAAAGGAAACAAAGAAAAUGGAAGUUAGAAUUUUGAAGAUUAAGAAGGGGAAUAAUAAGAGAAAUAAAAUAUGGAAAAGGAAAGAAAGAAAAAGAAAAUGGAAAUUAGAAUUUGAAGAUUAAGAAUAGGAACGAUAGAAAUAAUAGAAUAUGGAAAAGGAAAAAAAGGAAAGAAAGAAAGUGGAAGUUAGAAUUUUGAAGAUUAAGAAGAGGAACGAUAGAAAAAAUUAAAUAUGAAAAGGAAAAAAAGGAAAGAAAGAAAAUAGAAGCAAGAAGUUAAAAGAUUAAGGAGAGAAAUGAGGAGAUGAAAAAAAUGAAAAUGAAAAAAAGAAAAAGGAAAGUAAAAUGUUAAAGAAAAGAUGAAAAAAAAUGAAAUAUGGAAAUUGGAAAAGAAAAGAAGGAAAAUUGAAGCAAAAAGUUAGAAGAUAAGGAGAGGAAUGAGAUAAAAAAAUGGAAAAUGAAAAAAAAGAAAAAGGAAAGUAAAAUGUUAAAGAAAAGAUGGAAAAAAAUGAAAUAUGGAAAUUGGAAAAGAAAAGAAGGAAAAUUGAAGCAAAAAGUUAGAAGAUAAGGAGAGGAAUGAGAUAAAAAAAUGGAAAAUGAAAAAAAAAGAAAAAGGAUAGUAAAAUGUUAAAGAAAAGAUGGAAAAAAAUGGAAUAUGGAAAAUGGAAAAGAAAAGAAGGAAAAUUGAAGCAAAAAGUUAGAAGAUAAGGAGAGGAAUGAGAUGAAAAAAUAUAAGAUGAAAAAAAAAGAAAAAGGAAAGUAAAAUGUCAAAGAAAAGAUGAAAAAAAAUGAAAUAUGGAAAUUGGAAAAGAAAAGAAGGAAAAUUGAAGCAAAAAGUUAGAAGAAAAGGAGAGGAAUGAGAUGAGAAAAUGGAAAAUGAAAAAAAAAGAAAAAGGAUAGUAAAAUGUUAAAGAAAAGAUGGAAAAAAUGAAAUAUGGAAAAUGGAAAAGAAAAGAAGGAAAAUUGAAGCAAAAAGUUAGAAGAUAAGGAGAGGAAUGAGAUGAAAAAAUGGAAAAUGAAAAAAAAAGGAAAAGGAAAGUAAAA
Molecule: long non-coding RNA, 2290 nt
Organism: Eriocheir sinensis (Chinese mitten crab)
Lineage: Eukaryota; Metazoa; Arthropoda; Malacostraca; Decapoda; Varunidae
Exons: 2
Source: RefSeq, a predicted model, not a curated record